GAUGAAGAACGCAGCGAAAUGCGAUAAGUAGUGUGAAUUGCAGAAUUCCGUGAAUCAUCGAACCUUUGAACGCACAUUGCGCCUCCUGGUAGUCCGGGAGGCAUGCCUGUUCGAGCGUCACCAAAUCCAACUCAAGCGGUUUUGCGCUUGGUCGUGGCGGAAGAGUCGGUCUGGUUGCCGUCUCCCCUCCGAAAAUCAACGGCGGAAAGUCACUGGCAGUCAGCGUAGUAGUAUCGUUCGCCGAACAUCCAGUGGCAUUCCUGCCGACGUACCCCCACAAUUCUCGUGAUUGACCUCGGAUCAGGUAGGGAUACCCGCUGAACUUAAGCAUAUCAAUAAGCGGAGGA
RNAcentral lists this unclassified non-coding RNA (347 nucleotides) under soil metagenome. RNAcentral describes it as "partial contains 5.8S ribosomal RNA, internal transcribed spacer 2, and large subunit ribosomal RNA". The stretch from base 1 to 120 matches the Rfam family "5.8S ribosomal RNA", at positions 35 to 154 of the family's 154-position model. The record is from RNAcentral.